RNAcentral lists this ribosomal RNA (301 nucleotides) under uncultured bacterium. RNAcentral describes it as "partial 16S ribosomal RNA". It matches the Rfam family "Bacterial small subunit ribosomal RNA", at positions 509 to 808 of the family's 1533-position model. The record is from RNAcentral.
CAGUAGCCGCGGUAAUACGUAGGUGGCAAGCGUUGUCCGGAAUUAUUGGGCGUAAAGCGCGCGCAGGCGGAUAGGUCAGUCUGUCUUAGAAGUUCGGGGCUUAACCCCGUGAUGGGAUGGAAGCUGCCAAUCUAGAGUAUCGGAGAGGAAAGUGGGAUUCCUAGUGUAGCGGUGAAAUGCGUAGAUAUUAGGAAGAACACCAGUGGCGAAAGCACUCUGCUGGGCCGACACUGACACUGAGAGACGGAAGCUAGGGGAGCAAAUGGGAUUAGAGACCCCGGUAGUCCCUGUCUCUUAUACA